Molecule: ribosomal RNA, 200 nt
Filed under: uncultured bacterium
Lineage: Bacteria
Description: partial 16S ribosomal RNA
Rfam family: Bacterial small subunit ribosomal RNA
Source: RNAcentral
GAUGAACGCUGGCGGCGUGCUUAACACAUGCAAGUCGAACGGUGAAGCAGGAGCUUGCUCCUGUGGAUCAGUGGCGAACGGGUGAGUAACACGUGAGUAACCUGCCCCAGACUCUGGGAUAAGCGUUGGAAACGACGUCUAAUACCGGAUACGAGACGAGAAGGCAUCUUCAUCGUCUGGAAAGAAUUUUCGGUCUGGGA